This 724-nucleotide ribosomal RNA is filed under the name uncultured Bacteroidales bacterium. RNAcentral's name for it is "bacterial SSU rRNA". It matches the Rfam family "Bacterial small subunit ribosomal RNA", at positions 46 to 759 of the family's 1533-position model. The record is from RNAcentral. Lineage: Bacteria; Pseudomonadati; Bacteroidota; Bacteroidia; Bacteroidales.
GCUUAACACAUGCAAGUCGAGGGGCAGCAUGGUCUUAGCUUGCUAAGGCCGAUGGCGACCGGCGCACGGGUGAGUAACACGUAUCCAACCUGCCGUCUACUCUUGGACAGCCUUCUGAAAGGAAGAUUAAUACAAGAUGGCAUCAUGAGUCCACACGUUCACAUGAUUAAAGGUAUUCCGGUAGACGAUGGGGAUGCGUUCCAUUAGAUAGUAGGCGGGGUAACGGCCCACCUAGUCUUCGAUGGAUAGGGGUUCUGAGAGGAAGGUCCCCCACAUUGGAACUGAGACACGGUCCAAACUCCUACGGGAGGCAGCAGUGAGGAAUAUUGGUCAAUGGGCGAGAGCCUGAACCAGCCAAGUAGCGUGAAGGAUGACUGCCCUAUGGGUUGUAAACUUCUUUUAUAAAGGAAUAAAGUCGGGUAUGCAUACCCGUUUGCAUGUACUUUAUGAAUAAGGAUCGGCUAACUCCGUGCCAGCAGCCGCGGUAAUACGGAGGAUCCGAGCGUUAUCCGGAUUUAUUGGGUUUAAAGGGAGCGUAGAUGGAUGUUUAAGUCAGUUGUGAAAGUUUGCGGCUCAACCGUAAAAUUGCAGUUGAUACUGGAUAUCUUGAGUGCAGUUGAGGCAGGCGGAAUUCGUGGUGUAGCGGUGAAAUGCUUAGAUAUCACGAAGAACUCCGAUUGCGAAGGCAGCCUGCUAAGCUGCAACUGACAUUGAGGCUCGAAAG